Non-coding RNA from Termitomyces sp. J132, 82 nucleotides. NCBI's taxonomy places the organism in Eukaryota, Fungi, Basidiomycota, Agaricomycetes, Agaricales, Lyophyllaceae. The record is from Rfam.
UCCGGUAUGGUGUAACGGCUAACAUUGCCGCCUUUCAGUUUAUUUGUCGCGGCAGCUCGGGGUUCGAUUCCCCGUACCGGAA